This 311-nucleotide unclassified non-coding RNA is filed under the name uncultured fungus. RNAcentral's name for it is "partial contains 5.8S ribosomal RNA and internal transcribed spacer 2". The stretch from base 1 to 133 matches the Rfam family "5.8S ribosomal RNA", at positions 22 to 154 of the family's 154-position model. The record is from RNAcentral. Lineage: Eukaryota; Fungi.
UGGUUCUGGCAUCGAUGAAGAACGCAGCGAAAUGCGAUAAGUAAUGCGAAUUGCAGAAUUCAGUGAAUCAUCGAAUCUUUGAACGCACAUUGCGCCCCUCAGCACUCUGGGGGGCAUGCCUGUCCGAGCGUCAUUGCCACCCUCAAGCGCCGCCGCUUGGUGUUGGGCGCCACCUUGGUGCGCCCUAAAAGCAGUGGCGGGACCGCCCGGCCACAAGCGUAGUAGCAUCUCAGCUUGUAGGGCCUGGGCGUGGGCCCGCUGUCACCCUCUGUCAGAGAGUUGACCUCGGAUCAGGUAGGGUUACCCGCUGA